GGCCGGUUGGCUUAGUUGGUUAGAGCACAGUGCUCAUAACACCCAGGUCGCCGGUUCGAUUCCUGCAUGGGCCA
Molecule: non-coding RNA, 74 nt
Organism: Rhinolophus ferrumequinum (greater horseshoe bat)
Lineage: Eukaryota; Metazoa; Chordata; Mammalia; Chiroptera; Rhinolophidae
Source: the annotation of a RefSeq genome assembly